AUUGAACGCUGGCGGCAUGCCUUACACAUGCAAGUCGAACGGCAGCACGGGAGCAGUCCUGGUGGCGAGUGGCGAACGGGUGAGUAAGGUAUCGGAACGUGCCCAGUCGUGGGGGAUAACGUAGCGAAAGUUACGCUAAUACCGCAUACGAUCUAUGGAUGAAAGCGGGGGAUCGCAAGAACUCGCGCGAUUGGAGCGGACGAUAUCAGAUUAGGUAAUUGGUGGGGUAAAGGCUCACCAAGCCGACGAUCUGUAGCUGGUCUGAGAGGACGACCAGCCACACUGGGACUGAGACACGGCCCAGACUCCUACGGGAGGCAGCAGUGGGGAAUUUUGGACAAUGGGCGCAAGCCUGAUCCAGCCAUGCCGCGUGCAGGAUGAAGGCCUUCGGGUUGUAAACUGCUUUUGUACGGAACGAAAAGGUUUGGCCUAAUACGCUGAACUCAUGACGGUACCGUAAGAAUAAGCACCGGCUAACUACGUGCCAGCCGCCGCAGUAA
RNAcentral lists this ribosomal RNA (500 nucleotides) under uncultured bacterium. RNAcentral's name for it is "partial 16S ribosomal RNA". It matches the Rfam family "Bacterial small subunit ribosomal RNA", at positions 30 to 523 of the family's 1533-position model. The record is from RNAcentral.